UACGUAGGGGGCAAGCGUUAUCCGGAAUUACUGGGUGUAAAGGGAGCGUAGACGGUAAUGUAAGUCUGGAGUGAAAGGCGGGGGCCCAACCCCCGGACUGCUCUGGAAACUAAGUUACUAGAGUGCAGGAGAGGUAAGCGGAAUUCCUAGUGUAGCGGUGAAAUGCGUAGAUAUUAGGAGGAACACCAGUGGCGAAGGCGGCUUACUGGACUGUAACUGACGUUGAGGCUCGAAAGCGUGGGGAGCAACCAGG
This 253-nucleotide ribosomal RNA is filed under the name uncultured bacterium. RNAcentral's name for it is "partial 16S ribosomal RNA". It matches the Rfam family "Bacterial small subunit ribosomal RNA", at positions 524 to 776 of the family's 1533-position model. The record is from RNAcentral.